ACUUUAGUCUUAAUUGAUUUAAUUUUGGCUUUUAUUAAGUUUAAUUAAAAUAUUAUUUUAGUUAAAAGAUUUUAGUAGUUUUAAAGAAAAAUUUAUAUAAUUUAUAGUGUAAUUUUAUUGUGAAAGAUUGAUGAAAUAAUUGAAAAUUUAAUUUUUUAAAAGUAAACUUAAUUUUUUGUAUCUUGUGUAUCAGAGUUUAUUUAAAAAUUUUUAAGUAUAUAAAUUUCUCGAAAUUAAGAGAUUUAAUUAAGUGUGUUAGUUAAUGUAUAAUAAUUAUUAAUUAUUCUUAGUUAGAAAUGAAACGUUAUUCGUUCUUUAUGAUAUCUAGUUAUUUAAGAAAUUAUUUUAAUUUAAACAAAAUUUAAUUAAUUAACUUAUUAUUUAGUUUAUUAAAAAUUUCUGUUUAUAUGUUAUGGGAUAAUCUAUAGCGUAUAUAUUUACACAAGUUGUAUAUGUUUAUUAAAAUUAAUAAAAAUAAAAUUUUUUAUUUAAUUUAAUUUAUUAUAAAUAAUUUUGUUACAUUUAUAUUUUAAUUUAAUAAGUUAAUUUAAUUAUUAAAUUAUAAGUUUAAAUUUUUCUAAUUUAAAAAUAAUGAUAAAAUUAGUAUAUUUAAAUUUAACUAGUAAUUUUGAUGUUAGGUUAUUUUAAGGAAUUCGGCAAAUUUAUAUUCGCUUGUUUAACAAAAACAUGUCUUUUUGAUUAAUAAUUUAAAGUCUAAUCUGCCCACUGAAUUAAAUUUAAAGGGCUGCGGUAUUUUGACUGUGCGAAGGUAGCAUAAUAAAUAGUCUUUUUAUUGAAGACUGGAAUGAAUGAUUGGACGAAAUAAAAACUGUCUCAUUUUAAAUUAAAUAGAACUUAAUUUUUUAGUCAAAAAGCUAAAAUAUUAUUAAAAGACGAGAAGACCCUUUAGAUCUUUAUAAUUAAUUUUAAUUAAAUUCAUUUUUAGAAAAAAUUAUUUGGUUGGGGUGAUCUUGAAAUUUAUUUAACUUUUUAUAUUUAUUACCAAAAAUUUUUGAUUAAAUUGAUCCUGUAUUACAGAUUAUUAGAUUAAGAUACCUUAGGGAUAACAGCGUAAUUUAAUUUUUAAGUUCUUAUUGAAAGUUAAGUUUGCGACCUCGAUGUUGGAUUAAAAUUAUUUUUGGGUGCAAAAUUUCAAAUGUUAAGUCUGUUCGACUUUUAAAAUUUUACAUGAUCUGAGUUCAGACCGGUGUAAGCCAGGUUGGUUUCUAUCUUUAUUAAAAAGUUUUAUUUUAGUACGAAAGGAUUUGAUAAAAAAAAUAAAUUUUAUAAAUAAUGAAUAUUAUUAAUUUAAGAUU
RNAcentral lists this ribosomal RNA (1316 nucleotides) under Himalopsyche malenanda. Its description in RNAcentral is "16S ribosomal RNA". The record is from RNAcentral. Lineage: Eukaryota; Metazoa; Arthropoda; Insecta; Trichoptera; Rhyacophilidae.